GACGAACCAUCCAAACGUUAUUCGGAAUUACUGGGCUUAAAGGGUGCGUAGGCGGUGCGAUAAGUUGGGUGUGAAAGACCUCGGCCUAACCGAGGAAUUGCGCCCAAAACUGUCGGACUCGAGCAAGGCAGAGGUGAACGGAACUUAGGGUGGAGCGGUGAAAUGCGUUGAUAUCCUAAGGAACACCAGUAGCGAAAGCGGUUCACUGGGCCUUUUCUGACGCUGAUGCACGAAAGCCAGGGGAGCGAACGGG
RNAcentral lists this ribosomal RNA (253 nucleotides) under uncultured bacterium. RNAcentral describes it as "partial 16S ribosomal RNA". It matches the Rfam family "Bacterial small subunit ribosomal RNA", at positions 524 to 776 of the family's 1533-position model. The record is from RNAcentral.